UACGUAGGUGGCAAGCGUUGUCCGGAUUUACUGGGCGUAAAGAGCGCGCAGGCGGUCGUGCAAGUCGCGUGUGAAAGCCCCCCGGCUCAACUGGGGAGGGUCACGCGAUACUGAUCGACUCGAAGGCAGGAGAGGGUAGUGGAAUUCCCGGUGUAGUGGUGAAAUGCGUAGAUAUCGGGAGGAACACCAGUGGCGAAGGCGACUACCUGGCCUGUUCUUGACGCUGAGGCGCGAAAGCUAGGGAGCAAACGGG
RNAcentral lists this ribosomal RNA (253 nucleotides) under uncultured bacterium. Its description in RNAcentral is "partial 16S ribosomal RNA". It matches the Rfam family "Bacterial small subunit ribosomal RNA", at positions 524 to 776 of the family's 1533-position model. The record is from RNAcentral.